RNAcentral lists this ribosomal RNA (424 nucleotides) under Verrucomicrobiota bacterium. RNAcentral's name for it is "Verrucomicrobia bacterium partial 16S ribosomal RNA". It matches the Rfam family "Bacterial small subunit ribosomal RNA", at positions 355 to 776 of the family's 1533-position model. Lineage: Bacteria; Pseudomonadati; Verrucomicrobiota. The record is from RNAcentral.
UGAGGAAUAUUGGUCAAUGGACGAGAGUCUGAACCAGCCAAGUAGCGUGCAGGAUGACGGCCCUAUGGGUUGUAAACUGCUUUUGUUUGGGAAUAAUCGACAUUACGUGUAAUGUUUUGCAUGUACCAUUCGAAUAAGGACCGGCUAAUUCCGUGCCAGCAGCCGCGGUAAUACGGAAGGUCCAGGCGUUAUCCGGAUUUAUUGGGUUUAAAGGGAGUGUAGGCGGUUGGUUAAGCGUGUUGUGAAAUGUAGAUGCUCAACAUCUGACUUGCAGCGCGAACUGGCUGACUUGAGUACACACAACGUAGGCGGAAUUCAUGGUGUAGCGAUGAAAUGCUUAGAUAUCAUGAAGAACUCCGAUAGCGAAGGCAGCUUACGGGAGUGUUACUGACGCUUAAGCUCGAAGGUGCGGGUAUCGAACAGG